RNAcentral lists this ribosomal RNA (301 nucleotides) under uncultured bacterium. RNAcentral describes it as "partial 16S ribosomal RNA". It matches the Rfam family "Bacterial small subunit ribosomal RNA", at positions 509 to 807 of the family's 1533-position model. The record is from RNAcentral.
CAGCCGCCGCGGUAAAACGGAGGGGGCUAGCGUUGUUCGGAAUUACUGGGCGUAAAGCGCACGUAGGCGGCUGUGUAAGUCAGAGGUGAAAGCCCGGGGCUCAACCCCGGAAUAGCCUUUGAGACUGCAUAGCUUGAACACGGGAGAGGUGAGUGGAAUUCCGAGUGCAGAGGUGUAAUUCGUAGAUAUUCGGAAGAACACCAGUGGCGAAGGCGGCUCACUGGACCGUUGUUGACGCUGAGGUGCGAAAGCGUGGGGAGCAAACAGGAUUAGAUACCCCCGUAGUCCCUGUCUCUUAUAC